GGAACACAGGUGCUGCAUGGCUGUCGUCAGCUCGUGUCGUGAGAUGUUGGUUAAGUCCGCAACGAGCGCAACCCUUGUCAUUAGUUGCCAUCAUUUGGUUGGGCACUCUAAUGAGACUGCCGGUGACAAACCGGAGGAAGGUGGGGAUGACGUCAAGUCCUCAUGGCCCUUAUGGGUAGGGCUUCACACGUCAUACAAUGGUCGGUACAAAGGGCAGCCACUCAGCGAUGAGGCGCUAAUCCCAUAAAGCCGGUCUCAGUCCGGAUCGCAGUCUGCAACUCGACUGCGUGAAGUUGGAAUCGCUAGUAAUCGUAGAUCAGCAUGCUACGGUGAAUACGUUCCCGGGCCUU
Molecule: ribosomal RNA, 350 nt
Filed under: uncultured Rhodocyclaceae bacterium
Lineage: Bacteria; Pseudomonadati; Pseudomonadota; Betaproteobacteria; Rhodocyclales; Rhodocyclaceae
Description: bacterial SSU rRNA
Rfam family: Bacterial small subunit ribosomal RNA
Source: RNAcentral